AUUGAACGCUGGCGGAAUGCUUUACACAUGCAAGUCGAACGGCGGCACGGACUUCGGUCUGGUGGCGAGUGGCGAACGGGUGAGUAAUGUAUCGGAACGUGCCCAGUCGUGGGGGAUAACGUAGUGAAAAUUACGCUAAUACCGCAUACGAUCUAUGGAUGAAAGCGGGGGAUCGCAAGACCUCGCGCGAUUGGAGCGGCCGAUAUCAGAUUAGGUAGUUGGUGGGGUAAAGGCCCACCAAGCCAACGAUCUGUAGCUGGUCUGAGAGGACGACCAGCCAGACUGGAACUGAGAGACGGUCCAGACUCCUACGGGAGGCAGGAGUGGGGAGUUUUGGACAAUGGGCGAAAGCCUGAUCCAGCCAUUCCGCGUGCAGGAUGAAGGCCCUCGGGUUGUAAACUGCUUUUGUACAGAACGAAAAGGUUUCUACUAAUACUAGGAGCUCAUGACGGUACUGUAAGAAUAAGCACCGGCUAACUACGUGCCAGCCGCCGCCGUAA
This 500-nucleotide ribosomal RNA is filed under the name uncultured bacterium. RNAcentral's name for it is "partial 16S ribosomal RNA". It matches the Rfam family "Bacterial small subunit ribosomal RNA", at positions 30 to 523 of the family's 1533-position model. The record is from RNAcentral.